This 43-nucleotide small RNA is filed under the name Arabidopsis thaliana (thale cress). RNAcentral's name for it is "ATSL257770". The record is from RNAcentral. Lineage: Eukaryota; Viridiplantae; Streptophyta; Magnoliopsida; Brassicales; Brassicaceae.
GAACCGAAACAGUUUCAGUUCGGUUCAGGUUCGGGUUCGGUUC